GGACUACUGGGGUUUCUAAUCCUGUUUGAUCCCCACGCUUUCGUGCCUCAGCGUCAAUCACACUUUAGUAAGCUGCCUUCGCAAUCGGUGUUCUGUGACAUAUCUAUGCAUUUCACCGCUACUUGUCACAUUCCGCCUACUUCAAGUGUAUUCAAGCCCUGCAGUAUCAAAGGCACUGCGACAGUUGAGCUGCCGUCUUUCACCCCUGACUUACAAGGCCGCCUACGCACCCUUUAAACCCAAUAAAUCCGGAUAACGCUCGGAUCCUCCGUAUUACCGCGGCUGCUGGCAC
Molecule: ribosomal RNA, 292 nt
Filed under: uncultured Bacteroidota bacterium
Lineage: Bacteria; Pseudomonadati; Bacteroidota
Description: uncultured Bacteroidetes bacterium partial 16S ribosomal RNA
Source: RNAcentral